AUGCCAUACACAUGUUGCAAAUGGGAAGAGGAAGAUGAACAUACCUGCCCAAAUCCCUGUGUGUUGCUGGAGUUUCAUGAUGGUGGCUCAGUAAACGAUGAACACACGACGCAUUUCCUUUCCUCUGCUUCUGGACCCACUGCAAGAUGGAGCAAAACACGUUGCUGUUACGGGAGCGAUGCACACGGGGGCAGGACUGGAUCUCCUAUGAGGAAGGGAAUUCAAUUUAGAGCAAGUAAAGCCCCUGCUCUAAGCCGCACUCUUGUGAUAUUUCUCCUUGCAGCUCUACUAUCUGAUUGCUGCCUGCAUAUCUCCUGCCGCUUAAGCACAGAUGAUAUCUCAGGGAAGAAGGGUGUCUGGAAUUACUUGGCUUGUAGCAAAAAGCUGAGGAUCCAGCCCAGUGCAUCCCAAUCCCUCAGCUCCAUCACUGCAAUAGCUGUGACGCAGCCAGACCCCAAAACAGCGUCUCCAGGUGGUUUUAUGUUGAAGCAUAAUUUUAUUUUUCCCCACACUGACAAACCAUUUAUGAUGAUGAAGCCCUGGGGAAAAAGCUGCAUCAAGAGCAAGGUCUAGACUGGCCCGGGGUGUGUUCUGGCCAGCAACAAUUAGAGCAGUACAUGAAACAGAAAGACUAAUAUAAAAUAGAGCAGAACAAAAUAACUGCACGCAAUGCAUUAAUCAGUUUGCAGCGUAAUUGAAUGGCGUUUCCUAAAUUCACAGACACCAGAUAAUGAAACAAAGUGCUGAGGUACCACUAAAGAACCGUGCCAUAAAACACCUCGGCAGGCAGACAAUGUUUCCUGCCUGGAAUUUCCUGGAGGGAAGAGUUAGAUUAGUAAUGAUGAGAGAAUAUUGUGUUGUUGUUGUGUCAGGAUUUUAUUGAGCAGCAACAACAAAAUAAUAAUAAUUUUCAGUGAUGACUGUGGCAGAGCCUUGUCCUCCUGGCCAUCCUGCAGUGCAGGGCCUGGUGCAGAGGUGGGGGUAAUGCUGGGAUCCCACGCUGCCCUCCACCACCUCUUUAGCAGUGCAGCUCCGUGGCAGGAUGGGAGAUGUGUCCAUCUCUACUCACAUUUUCCCCUCUAUGCCCUGGGUUUUGCUGUUCAGUGGUCAUGGCCCCUGCAAGAUGCCUUCUGAAGAAUGCUGGGACCCUGAGAGCAACUGGGAUCAUCACUUGUCUCCCAGACAGCAAGGUUCCUUGAGGCCCUCCUCAUCCCCCUUGCCCUCCUCGUCUUCACUCUCAUCCCAAAGAGGGGCUUGGCAGUGAACCGUUGCAGAAUUGGAAAGAGGCUGUCUCCCUUUGGAGAGCUGCUCUCUCCGCUCUCUGCAAAGUGACACAUUGUCACUUAAGAUCAUUAACUAUUUGACUGUGAGCCCGCUGCCCGUACGACACUCCGCACUGCCGGCACUUUGCUGUUAAUGAAUAAUAAAUUAACGCUAUGACUCUGAGCCUUUCCUUUC
Molecule: long non-coding RNA, 1458 nt
Filed under: Numida meleagris (helmeted guineafowl)
Lineage: Eukaryota; Metazoa; Chordata; Aves; Galliformes; Numididae
Description: lncRNA (ENSNMEG00000018023.1)
Source: RNAcentral